AUUGAAAUUUCUUCAAACAUUCUUGAAAUUAUCAUCAGUUUCACAAGUUUUAAGAUCGUUCGAUUCGUAACACUUGUUUAGUUACAUGAAAUCAAUAAAACAGGUCUCAUUUCUUACCAAAAUACUCUCAUUGGAUGACUCAAAUCAUCCGGAACUCGUGCCUCUUUAUCGACGAUCGACAAACAGACGCGUAUGUAUGUAUAAUACUUAUUGCUCGACUUGCUGCCACACUUGAUCACGAAAGUACUAAAUACAACAAAGUUCAAGCUUUUGGUGUCCCCCGUGUCCCCAGGCCCCUCCAGCCAUCAGAGCUUGACUCGGUCACCAGAGCAGUGUACACCGUCGUCAUUAUUGUCGACGCUGAUGAAUGAUAAUAUGAUAUAAGUGAAUACAAGUAUAUUAUUAUCCAGUGAAAAUACAGUUGCCGCUGACAGUGACUAGUUGUCCAAGCUACUGUACAUUUCUCUCGUCUCUGCCUGUGCGUGUGAUUAAUCGUCUCUUCGUUUUUAAGGUUAGUGAAGUUUGUGUCGUAUUUUCAUAUGUAUUGCGUAUUGGCGUUUGGCAUCAUCAUUCUCGCGUGUUAGCGGUA
Molecule: long non-coding RNA, 589 nt
Organism: Copidosoma floridanum
Lineage: Eukaryota; Metazoa; Arthropoda; Insecta; Hymenoptera; Encyrtidae
Gene: 14-3-3zeta
Source: RefSeq, a predicted model, not a curated record